Molecule: non-coding RNA, 85 nt
Filed under: Candidatus Zhuqueibacterota
Lineage: Bacteria; Pseudomonadati
Description: Candidate division c-di-GMP sequence
Rfam family: Cyclic di-GMP-II riboswitch aptamer
Source: RNAcentral
UGUGAUCCCGGAGGCGAUGAUUUGGGGGCUGUAUGGUGGUCACUUGGCCCCCAGUGAGCCAAUAGUGAAACCGACCGGAGGCAUG